UUUAUUGCAGGAAGCCAUAGACUCUACCUACCUUAAUACUCAUGUUGCUUCAAACUUUUGAACCUACAACGAAUGACAUAUACAGAUUAUUCAAAAUGUAUCAGAGUUUUGAAUCUGCAUGACCUAUAUCAUUCCAUCAUACAUUAUCAUUCAUCAUGACAAUUUUUUUGCAUAUGUAUUUAUUUUCCAGGAAUCCAAGAGACCA
RNAcentral lists this long non-coding RNA (205 nucleotides) under Lathyrus oleraceus (garden pea). RNAcentral's name for it is "Pisum sativum (pea) long non-coding RNA (PSAT_LNC028429)". The record is from RNAcentral. Lineage: Eukaryota; Viridiplantae; Streptophyta; Magnoliopsida; Fabales; Fabaceae.